RNAcentral lists this ribosomal RNA (253 nucleotides) under uncultured bacterium. Its description in RNAcentral is "partial 16S ribosomal RNA". It matches the Rfam family "Bacterial small subunit ribosomal RNA", at positions 524 to 776 of the family's 1533-position model. The record is from RNAcentral.
UACAGAGGUCUCGAGCGUUAGUCGGAAUCACUGGGCUUAAAGCGUACGUAGGCGGAUAUGCAGGCGUCGUGUGAAAUCCCCGGGCUCAACCCGGGAACUGCACGGCGAACCGCAUGUCUUGAGAUCGGUAGGGGCGGUCGGAACGAUAGGUGGAGUGGUGAAAUGCGUUGAUAUCUAUCGGAACGCCGAAGGUGAAGACAGGCCGCUGGGCCGACUCUGACGCUGAGGUACGAAAGCGUGGGUAGCGAACGGG